Molecule: transfer RNA, 63 nt
Filed under: Neophonus bruchi
Lineage: Eukaryota; Metazoa; Arthropoda; Insecta; Coleoptera; Staphylinidae
Description: tRNA-Glu
Source: RNAcentral
AUUUAUAUAGUUUAUAUAAAACAUUAUAUUUUCACUAUAAAAAAAGAAUUUUUCUUAUAAAUA